This is a long non-coding RNA of Rosa chinensis, 208 nucleotides long. RefSeq lists it as uncharacterized. The transcript is spliced from 3 exons. The record is from RefSeq and is a predicted model, not a curated record. Lineage: Eukaryota; Viridiplantae; Streptophyta; Magnoliopsida; Rosales; Rosaceae.
UGAACCCAGUGAAGAAGAUUAAGCAGCAGCUAAAGGUGGAGAUGGUGCCUCUGAGACUAAGAAGGCAGCAGCAGCAAUUUGUGUUGGAAUAGGCAGCUUUUCUGACCCUAUGGAAGCACAAGGGCUUGCACACUUUCUUGAACAUAUGCUCUUCAUGGGGAGCACAAAGUUUCCAGUUGAAAAUGGGGUAUGCUUUCAUUGAGUACAU